GCCUCGAUAGCUCAGUCGGUAGAGCAGAGGAUUGAAAAUCCUCGUGUCGGUGGUUCGAUUC
RNAcentral lists this transfer RNA (61 nucleotides) under Vibrio cholerae HC-50A2. RNAcentral describes it as "partial tRNA-Phe". It matches the Rfam family "tRNA", at positions 1 to 59 of the family's 71-position model. Rfam says of the family: Transfer RNA (tRNA) molecules are approximately 80 nucleotides in length. Their secondary structure includes four short double-helical elements and three loops (D, anti-codon, and T loops). Lineage: Bacteria; Pseudomonadati; Pseudomonadota; Gammaproteobacteria; Vibrionales; Vibrionaceae. The record is from RNAcentral.